RNAcentral lists this ribosomal RNA (251 nucleotides) under uncultured bacterium. RNAcentral's name for it is "partial 16S ribosomal RNA". It matches the Rfam family "Bacterial small subunit ribosomal RNA", at positions 524 to 774 of the family's 1533-position model. The record is from RNAcentral.
UACGUAGGGGGCAAGCGUUAUCCGGAAUUACUGGGUGUAAAGGGUGAGUAGGCGGCAUGGUAAGCCAGAUGUGAAAGCCUUGGGCUUAACCCGAGGAUUGCAUUUGGAACUAUCAAGCUAGAGUACAGGAGAGGAAAGCGGAAUUCCUAGUGUAGCGGUGAAAUGCGUAGAUAUUAGGAAGAACACCAGUGGCGAAGGCGGCUUUCUGGACUGAAACUGACGCUGAGGCACGAAAGCGUGGGGAGCGAACA